AUGUUGAAACAUUGGUUCCCUUAUGAUCACUGAAGUUAAGCAACAUUGAGCAUGGUCAGUAGCUAGAUGAGUGUCCGUUUAGGAAUACCAGAUGCUGUAAG
Molecule: non-coding RNA, 101 nt
Organism: Acanthosepion pharaonis
Lineage: Eukaryota; Metazoa; Mollusca; Cephalopoda; Sepiida; Sepiidae
Source: the annotation of a GenBank genome assembly